CCCUUAGAUGUUCUGGGCCGCACGCGCGCUACACUGAUGCAUUCAACGAGUUUCUUCCUGGUCCGAGAGGAAUGGGUAACCUUUUGAAAGUGCAUCGUGAUAGGGAUAGACUAUUGCAAUUAUUGGUCUUCAACGAGGAAUUCCUAGUAGACGUAGUUCAUCAGACUGCAUCGAUUACGUCCCUGCCCUUUGUACACACCGCCCGUCGCUCCUACCGAUUGAAUGCUCAGGUGAGCCAUUCGGACUUUCAUCAUGCUGGUUUCCAGUUUUGAUGAAGGAAAGUCUUGCGAACCUAUCAUUUAGAGGAAGGAGAAGUCGUAACA
This 323-nucleotide ribosomal RNA is filed under the name uncultured eukaryote. RNAcentral's name for it is "partial 18S ribosomal RNA". It matches the Rfam family "Eukaryotic small subunit ribosomal RNA", at positions 1470 to 1796 of the family's 1831-position model. The record is from RNAcentral.